GCUGGGAUAGCUCAGUCAGUAAAGCAUGAGUCUCUUCAUCUCACGGUUGCGGGUUCGAACCCCACAUUGGGUG
This 73-nucleotide transfer RNA is filed under the name Podarcis lilfordi (Lilford's wall lizard). RNAcentral's name for it is "tRNA.Lys". The record is from RNAcentral. Lineage: Eukaryota; Metazoa; Chordata; Lepidosauria; Squamata; Lacertidae.